Molecule: ribosomal RNA, 274 nt
Filed under: uncultured bacterium
Lineage: Bacteria
Description: partial 16S ribosomal RNA
Rfam family: Bacterial small subunit ribosomal RNA
Source: RNAcentral
AGACAGAGGUGGCAAGCGUUGUUCGGAUUUACUGGGCUUAAAGGGCGUGUAGGCGUCCUGGUAAGUCAGAUGUGGAAACCUUGGGCUCAACCCAAGAAUUGCAUUUGAUACUGCCGGGAUUGAGUCGUGCAUGGGAGGGCGGAAUUCCUGGUGUAGCGGUGAAAUGCGUAGAUAUCAGGAGGAAGGCCGGUGGCGAAGGUGGCCCUCUGGGCAAUGACUGACGCUGAGGCGCGAAAGCGUGGGGAGCAAACAGGAUUAGAUACCCUAGUAGUCC